RNAcentral lists this ribosomal RNA (253 nucleotides) under uncultured bacterium. RNAcentral's name for it is "partial 16S ribosomal RNA". It matches the Rfam family "Bacterial small subunit ribosomal RNA", at positions 524 to 776 of the family's 1533-position model. The record is from RNAcentral.
UACGUAGGGGGCAAGCGUUGUCCGGAUUUAUUGGGCGUAAAGAGCUUGUAGGCGGCCAGAUAGGUCUGUUGUGAAAACUGGAGGCUUAACCUUCAGAGGUCGAUGGAAACCAUCUGGCUAGAGUCCGGAAGAGGAGAAUGGAAUUCCUGGUGUAGCGGUGAAAUGCGCAGAUAUCAGGAAGAACACCCGUGGCGAAGGCGGUUCUCUGGGACGGUACUGACGCUGAGACGCGAAAGCGUGGGGAGCGAACGGG